GUGGGCAGCGUCUCUUCCGGGUAGAAAAUAGCUGGAACUUUCACCAGUGUUCAGUCUGCCGCCAGCCCCCGGGGAACUAUGGAGGCCCCGCGACCGGCAGGGACAUUCGUGGUGGUAGGAGGUGGCAUCGCUGGCGUCACGUGUGCCGAGCAGGUUCGUGGGCGCGUGCUCCGCCCCUUCUGGACCCUGUUGUCGUGGUUACGGGAGAUUGCGGCGGGCGGCACCGCUUCGCGGGUCGCUCUUCCGGCUUUUCCCCACGCCCACUCGGCGGCGCCGCUGGUGGGGAGGCUGCGCAGAGCCCCGUUGUAGCGUUUGGGGCCAGGAGUAGACAGUGCCUAAUUAGCUAGGAAUCCAAAAUCGAACCAGACUCCGGGUGGAAUAGUGUGCCAGUGGGCAGGAGACCUUGGCGUUUGGACAGAAAAUUCUCCCACUUUUCAGAUUUCCUUCACACAUGAAAUUUAGUUUCUUGAUAAGUGCCACGACGUUAAUAAAUAAUUUCAACGUUACCUUGAACUCCAAAGAUAAAAUUUCAUGUCUAGCAGAAGUUUGGGGCAAAGGACUACAGAUGAGGAAAUUCUAAUCAUGAUAAACAAAUGAAUCAGAUGUGUUUACAUGUGCGUAUUACAGAAAAGAACUAUUUUGUUGCGAUCACCAACCGCUGAAGUCACCAGAAAUAGUAGCAGGAAGUGUUUUUUGAGUUGUUAAACUUGGGUGGUGCAGCUCCUGUUUAUCCAUCAAAGAGUUCAUAUUCCAAGUCACGUCAUCACUGUGUUACCUUAAUCUUAGGAGUUACUGGUAGGAGUGAAUUAAGCUGGCUGUCAGUUUCCCAGAGGAAGACAUUCUCCUAGUCACAGCCUCUCCUGUUAUCAAAGCCGUUACAAACUUCAGACAGGUUUCUAAAGUACUGGAAGAAUUUGAUGUUGAAGAACAGCCAGGUACUAUGCUGGAAAGUCGCUUUCCCAACAUUAAGGUCAUCGAAUCUGGAGUAAAGCAGUUGAAAAGUGAAGACCAUUGCAUCUUCACAGAAGACGGUCGUGAAUUUGUAUAUAAGAAACUCUGUCUGUGUGCUGGAGCUAAGCCAAAGUUAAUCUACGAGGGAAAUCCACGUGUACUGGGAAUCCGUGAUACAGACAGUGCUCAGGAAUUUCAGAAAGAGCUUGCAAAAGCCAGGAGGAUAAUGAUUGUCGGGAAUGGUGGCAUUGCUCUGGAGCUAGCGAGACUGUACCAUUCCUCCUAGGUAUGAAAUUGAAGGCUGUGAAGUAGUUUGGGCCAUAAAGGAUAACGCCAUUGGGAAUACAUUCUUUGACGCGGGUGCAGCAGAGUUUCUGACUUCCAAGCUCAUGUCUGAAAAAUCAGAGGCUAAAAUUGCACAUAAAAGAACUAUAUAUACAGUUGAAGAAGCAAAGAAGGAAACCAGAACCAAAUCUAAAGCUGAUUAUGUGGGCAGUGCCCUUGGACCAGACUGGCACGGAGGCUUGGCUUUGAAAGGAACUGAAGAGUUUUCUCACAGUGUUCACAUUGAAACCAGAUGUGAAGUAAAGAAAAUCUACCUUGAAGAGGAAUUUAAGAUUAUGAAGAAAAAGUCCUUGGCUUUUCCAAAGGACCACCAUAAGUCAGUUACAGCUGAUAAAGAAAUGUGGCCUGUGUAUGUGGAACUGACCAAUGGGACAAUAUACGGCUGUGAUUUCCUUGUCAGCGCUACAGGAGUCACCCCAAACGUACACCCUUUUCUUCAUAGAAACAAUUUUGCUCUAGGAGAAGAUGGCGGCCUGAGAGUGGAUGACCAGAUGCGCACGUCACUUCCUGAUAUCUAUGCUGCUGGAGACAUCUGCACUGCGUGCUGGCAGCCGAGUCCAGUCUGGCAGCAGAUGAGGUUGUGGACACAGGCCCGGCAGAUGGGGUAUUAUGCAGCCAAGUGCAUGGCCGCAGCUAGCAUGGGACAUCCUAUUGACAUGGAUUUCAGCUUUGAACUGUUUGCUCAUGUCACAAAGUUUUUUAACUAUAAGGUUGUAUUGCUGGGAAAAUACAACGCACAAGGCCUGGGCGCAGACCAUGAGUUGAUGCUGAGGUGCACCAGAGGACAAGAGUAUGUCAAAGUCGUUAUGCAGAAUGGACGCAUGAUGGGAGCCGUCUUAAUUGGUGAAACGGACUUAGAGGAAACAUUUGAAAAUUUAAUCUUAAACCAAAUGGACCUUUCAUCAUACGGGGAGGAUCUCCUAGAUCCAAAUAUCGACAUAGAGGAUUAUUUUGAUUGAAAUUGAAAUCUCUUCAGGAAUACAAAGUACAAAAUAAAGAGAAAAGAAAGUACAUGGGGAAACAUAACCACACGGAGUGCAUGGGCACUCAAGUAGAGAAUGCAGACACCAGACUGGAUGUUGGAAAGAAAUAAAGAAAAUUCUUCAGAUGAA
RNA transcript from Mus musculus (house mouse), 2408 nucleotides. It is a transcript of the gene named pyridine nucleotide-disulphide oxidoreductase domain 1, with no coding region annotated. The record is from RefSeq and is marked validated. The transcript has 12 exons. NCBI's taxonomy places the organism in Eukaryota, Metazoa, Chordata, Mammalia, Rodentia, Muridae.